Molecule: ribosomal RNA, 228 nt
Filed under: uncultured bacterium
Lineage: Bacteria
Description: partial 16S ribosomal RNA
Rfam family: Bacterial small subunit ribosomal RNA
Source: RNAcentral
CGGGUGAGUAAUACAUCGGAACGUGUCUUCUAGUGGGGGAUAACUGCCCGAAAGGGCAGCUAAUACCGCAUGAGACCUGAGGGUGAAAGCGGGGGAUCGCAAGACCUCGCGCUGGAAGAGCGGCCGAUGUCCAAUUAGCUAGUUGGUGAGGUAAGGGCUCACCAAGGCGACGAUCGGUAGCUGGUCUGAGAGGACGACCAGCCACACUGGGACUGAGACACGGCCCAG